Molecule: ribosomal RNA, 252 nt
Filed under: uncultured bacterium
Lineage: Bacteria
Description: partial 16S ribosomal RNA
Rfam family: Bacterial small subunit ribosomal RNA
Source: RNAcentral
UACGUAGGUCCCGAGCGUUGUCCGGAUUUAUUGGGCGUAAAGCGAGCGCAGGUGGUUUAUUAAGUCUGGUGUAAAAGGCAGUGGCUCAACCAUUGUAUGCAUUGGAAACUGGUAGACUUGAGUGCAGGAGAGGAGAGUGGAAUUCCAUGUGUAGCGGUGAAAUGCGUAGAUAUAUGGAGGAACACCAGUGGCGAAAGCGGCUCUCAGGUCUGUAACUGACGCUGAGGUUCGAAAGCGUGGGUAGCAAACAGG